RNAcentral lists this ribosomal RNA (254 nucleotides) under uncultured bacterium. Its description in RNAcentral is "partial 16S ribosomal RNA". It matches the Rfam family "Bacterial small subunit ribosomal RNA", at positions 524 to 776 of the family's 1533-position model. The record is from RNAcentral.
UACGUAGGGGGCGAGCGUUGUCCGGAAUUAUUGGGCGUAAAGAGCUCGUAGGCGGUUUGGCAAGUCGGGUGUGAAAUCUCCGAGCUCAACUCGGAGAGGCCACUCGAGACUGUUAUGACUAGAGUCCGGUAGGGGACCAUGGAAUUCCUGGUGUAGCGGUGAAAUGCGCAGAUAUCAGGAGGAACACCGGUGGCGAAGGCGGAUCUCUGGGCCUUACCUGACGCUGAGGCGCGAAAGCUAGGGGAGCAAACAGG